Molecule: ribosomal RNA, 532 nt
Filed under: uncultured bacterium
Lineage: Bacteria
Description: bacterial SSU rRNA
Rfam family: Bacterial small subunit ribosomal RNA
Source: RNAcentral
AAUAGAUACCCUGGUAGUCCACGCCCUAAACGAUGAAUGCUAGUCGUCGGGGUACUCGUUACUUCGGUGAUGCACUUAACAGAUUAAGCAUUCCGCCUGGGGAGUACGGUCGCAAGAUUAAAACUCAAAGGAAUAGACGGGGACCCGCACAAGUGGUGGAGCAUGUGGUUUUAAUUCGAAGAUACACGAAGAACCUUACCUGGCCUUGACAUGGUAGGAACCCUUAAGAGAUUAGGGGGUGCUAGCUUGCUAGAACCUACACACAGGUGCUGCACGGCUGUCGUCAGCUCGUGUCGUGAGAUGUUGGGUUAAGUCCCGCAACGAGCGCAACCCUCGUCGUUAGUUGCUAACAGUUCGGCUGAGCACUCUAACGAGACUGCCUUCGCAAGGAGGAGGAAGGUGAGGACGACGUCAAGUCAUCAUGGCCCUUACGGCCAGGGCUACACACGUGCUACAAUGGGGGCGUACAAAGAGCUGCAAUACCGCGAGGUGGAGCCAAUCUCUUAAAGCGUCUCUCAGUUCGGAUUGUUCU